AGUGAACGCUGGCGGUAGGCCUAACACAUGCAAGUCGAACGGCAGCACAGUAAGAGCUUGCUCUUACGGGUGGCGAGUGGCGGACGGGUGAGGUAUACAUCGGACUCUACUUUUUCGUGGGGGAUAACGUAGGGAAACUUACGCUAAUACCGCAUACGACCUACGGGUGAAAGCAGGGGAUCUUCGGACCUUGCGCGAUUGAAUGAGCAGAUGUCGGAUUAGCUAGUUGGCGGGGUAAAGGCCCACCAAGGCGACGAUCCGUAGCUGGUCUGAGAGGAUGAUCAGCCACACUGGAACUGAGACACGGUCCAGACUCCUACGGGAGGCAGCAGUGGGGAAUAUUGGACAAUGGGCGCAAGCCUGAUCCAGCCAUACCGCGUGGGUGAAGAAGGCCUUCGGGUUGUAAAGCCCUUUUGUUGGGAAAGAAAAGCAGCAGGUUAAUACCCCGCUGUUCUGACGGUACCCGAAGAAGAAGCACCGGCUAACUUCGUG
This 492-nucleotide ribosomal RNA is filed under the name uncultured bacterium. RNAcentral describes it as "partial 16S ribosomal RNA". It matches the Rfam family "Bacterial small subunit ribosomal RNA", at positions 29 to 507 of the family's 1533-position model. The record is from RNAcentral.